RNAcentral lists this ribosomal RNA (253 nucleotides) under uncultured bacterium. RNAcentral's name for it is "partial 16S ribosomal RNA". It matches the Rfam family "Bacterial small subunit ribosomal RNA", at positions 524 to 776 of the family's 1533-position model. The record is from RNAcentral.
UACGUAGGGGGCUAGCGUUGUCCGGAUUCAUUGGGCGUAAAGAGCGUGUAGGCGGCCAGGUAGGUCUGCUGUGAAAACUCGAGGCUCAACCUCGAGACGUCGGCGGAAACCAUCUGGCUAGAGUCCGGAAGAGGAGAGUGGAAUUCCUGGUGUAGCGGUGAAAUGCGCAGAUAUCAGGAAGAACACCCGUGGCGAAGGCGGCUCUCUGGGACGGUACUGACGCUGAGAAGCGAAUGCAUGGGGAGCGAACAGG